GCAAGGGAAGCAUAAAACUCAAACUCUUGAGCAGAAGUUCAAAAGUGCAUAUCCUUGCAAAAAGCAAAACUGCUAAAUGUUAAAAACCUAUACCAGGUGCAUUUUCACAUAUGUCACAACGGGGCACAUCACUAGGGUCAGCAAGCCCAACACGUACAUGUCGACUAGCAAGCUUGUUACACAAAUGGACCUUCUCAUCACAAGAGCGGCAAAGCGCGGCUUCAUCGGCGGCGCAGAAGAGGAUCGCGGCGGCACUCUCACACACGUCGCAAAGCGUUCGCAUUUCUCUUUUAUCUCUUUUAUCUCUUUUUCUUAUUUUACAUACAAAUUGGCUCAAUAACUUAGUUUUUAUUCUUUAAUCAGCGCUGUUAAUUGUUCGUCCUUUCUUCUCAUGAACGCCAUUUCUGUGGUUUGCAGAGUCUUAACUAAGGAUAUCAGAUGAAGAGCAUAAAUUGAAGGAUUAGGAAUGAUUGCGUAUGGCG
RNAcentral lists this unclassified non-coding RNA (482 nucleotides) under Hevea brasiliensis (rubber tree). Lineage: Eukaryota; Viridiplantae; Streptophyta; Magnoliopsida; Malpighiales; Euphorbiaceae. The record is from RNAcentral.